RNAcentral lists this long non-coding RNA (285 nucleotides) under Homo sapiens (human). Its description in RNAcentral is "non-protein coding lnc-DDX42-2:1". The record is from RNAcentral. Lineage: Eukaryota; Metazoa; Chordata; Mammalia; Primates; Hominidae.
AGGCCCUAGCAGCCGCCGCCGCGCCGAGAGCGGUUCUCAGUUCCCGUUGUCUUUCCCGCCGCGCAGCGCUUCCGCCUACAGCCUCCGCCCCCGCAGCAGGAGGGGGAAGCAGGUGGCUUCAACAAUGAAGGACCAGAGAAAGGCAAACUUGGCUGUUCCUGAGAAUUGUGUUUUUCUCAUUUCAUGUGGUAGGACUUCUAAUGGAAAACCCGCCUCGCACUUUUCUUGGACGACAUCUCAAAUGCCCCUCACUUUGGCCUCUCGGGCACCAGACAACAAGCUGCA